GAUGAACGCUGGCGGCGUGCCUAAUACAUGCAAGUCGAGCGAACAGACGAGGAGCUUGCUCCUCUGACGUUAGCGGCGGACGGGUGAGUAACACGUGGAUAACCUACCUAUAAGACUGGGAUAACUUCGGGAAACCGGAGCUAAUACCGGAUAAUAUAUUGAACCGCAUGGUUCAAUAGUGAAAGACGGUUUUGCUGUCACUUAUAGAUGGAUCCGCGCCGCAUUAGCUAGUUGGUAAGGUAACGGCUUACCAAGGCAACGAUGCGUAGCCGACCUGAGAGGGUGAUCGGCCACACUGGAACUGAGACACGGUCCAGACUCCUACGGGAGGCAGCAGUAGGGAAUCUUCCGCAAUGGGCGAAAGCCUGACGGAGCAACGCCGCGUGAGUGAUGAAGGUCUUCGGAUCGUAAAACUCUGUUAUUAGGGAAGUACAAAUGUGUAAGUAACUAUGCACGUCUUGACGGUACCUAAUCAGAAAGCCACGGCUAACUACAUG
RNAcentral lists this ribosomal RNA (497 nucleotides) under uncultured bacterium. RNAcentral's name for it is "partial 16S ribosomal RNA". It matches the Rfam family "Bacterial small subunit ribosomal RNA", at positions 28 to 507 of the family's 1533-position model. The record is from RNAcentral.